Jaapia argillacea MUCL 33604 is the source of this 97-nucleotide non-coding RNA. Lineage: Eukaryota; Fungi; Basidiomycota; Agaricomycetes; Jaapiales; Jaapiaceae. The record is from the annotation of a GenBank genome assembly.
GCCUUCUUAGCACAGUGGUAGUGCGUCCCACUCGUAUGAGGUGAUGAAUCACUUCACUGCAAUGGGGAGGUCGGUUGUUCAAUCCAGCCAGGAGGCA